This is a long non-coding RNA of Oncorhynchus keta (chum salmon), 5454 nucleotides long. RefSeq lists it as uncharacterized. The transcript is spliced from 8 exons. The record is from RefSeq and is a predicted model, not a curated record. NCBI's taxonomy places the organism in Eukaryota, Metazoa, Chordata, Actinopteri, Salmoniformes, Salmonidae.
GUGGGAGACAUCUACAGGUGUGAGGCUGGUUCUAUAGAACAGACCGAAGCAGAGGAAUGAGCAGCUGGUAUAUCUAGACCUAUAUACUAUCUACUAUAGGACAGCCACACUGCAGGUUGGAGGAGUGAUCUGUUAGAGUGUGUGUGUAUUCUGACAUUUGCAGAUUUAAAGAUAAUUGUCUUGCAAUUCUAUUAAUUUUUCCAUGUCUAAUGUAUAUUAAUGUGAUGUAUACCCGCGGCCUCCCUGACGACCCCUAGAGUGCCCACCCCACAGUUUGGGAACCACUGUACUAUAGAACAGCCACACCGCAGGUUGGGAACCACUGUACUAUAGGAACCACUGUACUAUAGAACCACUGUACUAUAGGAACCACUGUACUAUAGGAACCACUGUACUAUAGGAACCACUGCACUAUAGGAACCACUGUACUAUAGGAAUCACUGUAUUAUAGGAACCACUGUACUAUAGGAACCACUGUACUAUAAGAACCACGGUACAAUAGAACAGCCACACCGCUAUAGAACAGCCACACCGCAGGUUGGGAACCACUGUACUAUAGGAACCACGGUACUAUAGGAACCACGGUACUAUAGGAACCACGGUACUAUAGAACAGCCACACCGCAGGUUGGGAACCACUGUACUAUAGGAACCACUGUACUAUAGGAACCACUGUACUAUAGAACAGCCACACCACAGGUUCGGAACCACGGUACUAUAGGAACCACGGUACUAUAGGAACCACUGUACUAUAGGAACCACUGCACUAUAGGAACCACUGCACUAUAGAACAGCCACACCACAGGUUGGGAACCACUGUACUAUAGGAACCACUGUACUAUAGAACCACUGCACUAUAGGAACCACUGCACUAUAGGAACCACUGCACUAUAGAACAGCCACACCACAGGUUGGGAACCACUGUACUAUAGGAACCACUGUACUAUAGAACCACUGCACUAUAGGAACCACUGUACUAUAGGAACCACGGUACUAUAGAACAGCUACACCACUGCACUAUAGGAACCACUGUACUAUAGGAACCACUGUACUAUAGGAACCACGGUACUAUAGGAACCACGGUACUAUAGGAACCACGGUACUAUAGGAACCACUGUACUAUAGGAACCACGGUACUAUAGGAACCACGGUACUAUAGGAACCACUGUACUAUAGAACAGCCACACCACAGGUUGGGAACCACUGUACUAUAGGAACCACUGUACUAUAGGAACCACUGUACUAUAGGAACCACUGUACUAUAGAACAGCCACACCACAGGUUGGGAACCACUGUACUAUAGGAACCACUGUACUAUAGGAACCACUGUACUAUAGGAACCACUGUACUAUAGGAACCACUGUCCUAUAGAACAGCCACACCGCAGGUUGGGAACCACUGUACUAUAGAACAGCCACACCGCAGGUUGGGAACCACUAAUAUAGGAACCACUGUACUAUAGGAACCACUGUACUAUAGGAACCACUGUACUAUAGAACAGCCACACCGCAGGUUGGGAACCACUGUACUAUAGGAACCACUGUACUAUAGAACCACUGUACUAUAGGAACCACUGUACUAUAGGAACCACUGUACUAUAGGAACCACUGCACUAUAGGAACCACUGUACUAUAGGAAUCACUGUAUUAUAGGAACCACUGUACUAUAGGAACCACUGUACUAUAAGAACCACGGUACAAUAGAACAGCCACACCGCUAUAGAACAGCCACACCGCAGGUUGGGAACCACUGUACUAUAGGAACCACGGUACUAUAGGAACCACGGUACUAUAGGAACCACGGUACUAUAGAACAGCCACACCGCAGGUUGGGAACCACUGUACUAUAGGAACCACGGUACUAUAGGAACCACGGUACUAUAGGAACCACGGUACUAUAGGAACCACGGUACUAUAGAACAGCCACACCGCAGGUUGGGAACCACUGUACUAUAGGAACCACUGUACUAUAGGAACCACUGUACUAUAGAACAGCCACACCACAGGUUGGGAACCACUGUACUAUAGGAACCACUGUACUAUAGAACCACUGCACUAUAGGAACCACUGCACUAUAGGAACCACUGCACUAUAGAACAGCCACACCACAGGUUGGGAACCACUGUACUAUAGGAACCACUGUACUAUAGAACCACUGCACUAUAGGAACCACUGUACUAUAGGAACCACGGUACUAUAGAACAGCUACACCACAGGUUGGGAACCACUGCACUAUAGGAACCACUGUACUAUAGGAACCACUGUACUAUAGGAACCACGGUACUAUAGGAACCACGGUACUAUAGGAACCACUGUACUAUAGGAACCACGGUACUAUAGGAACCACGGUACUAUAGGAACCACUGUACUAUAGGAACCACUGUACUAUAGAACAGCCACACCACAGGUUGGGAACCACUGUACUAUAGGAACCACUGUACUAUAGGAACCACUCUACUAUAGGAACCACUGUACUAUAGGAACCACUGUACUAUAGAACAGCCACACCACAGGUUGGGAACCACUGUACUAUAGGAACCACUGUACUAUAGGAACCACUGUACUAUAGGACAGCCAAACUGCAGGUUGGGAACCACUGUACUAUAGGAACCACUGUACUAUAGAACAGCCACACCGCAGGUUGGGAACCACUGUACUAUAGGAACCACUGUACUAUAGGAACCACUGCACUAUAGAACAGCCAAACCGCAGGUUGGGAACCACUCCACUAUAGGAACCACUGUACUAUAGGAACCACUGCACUAUAGAACAGCCAAACCGCAGGUUGGGAACCACUGCACUAUAUGAACCGCUGCACUAUAGGAACCGCUGCACUAUAGGAACCGCUGCACUAUAGGAACCGCUGCACUAUAGGAACCACUGUACUGUAGGAACCACGGUACUAUAGGAACCACGGUACUAUAGAACAGCUACACCGCAGGUUGGGAACCACUGUACUAUAGGAACCACUGUACUAUAGGAACCACUGUACUAUAGAACAGCCACACCGCAGGUUGGGAACCACUGUACUAUAGGAACCACUGUACUAUAGGAACCACUGUACUAUAGGAACCACUGUACUAUAGGAACCACUGUACUACAGAACCACUGUACUAUAGGAACCACUGUAUUAUAGGAACCACUGUACUAUAGAACCACUGUACUAUAGAACCACUGUACUAUAGAACCACUGUACUAUAGGAACCACUGUACUAUAGAACAGCCACACCGCAGGUUGGGAACCACUGUACUAUAGGAACCACUGUACUAUAGGAACCACUGUACUAUAGGAACCACUGUACUAUAGAACAGCCACACCACAGGUUGGGAACCACUGUACUAUAGGAACCACUGUACUAUAGAACCACUGCACUAUAGGAACCACUGCACUAUAGGAACCACUGCACUAUAGAACAGCCACACCACAGGUUGGGAACCACUGUACUAUAGGAACCACUGUACUAUAGAACCACUGCACUAUAGGAACCACUGCACUAUAGGAACCACUGCACUAUAGAACAGCCACACCACAGGUUGGGAACCACUGUACUAUAGGAACCACUGUACUAUAGAACCACUGCACUAUAGGAACCACUGUACUAUAGGAACGACGGUACUAUAGGAACCACUGUACUAUAGAACAGCUACACCACAGGUUGGGAACCACUGCACUAUAGGAACCACGGUACUAUAGGAACCACGGUACUAUAGGAACCACUGUACUAUAGGAACCACUGUACUAUAGGAACCACGGUACUAUAGGAACCACGGUACUAUAGGAACCACGGUACUAUAGGAACCACUGUACUAUAGGAACCACUGUACUAUAGAACAGCCACACCACAGGUUGGGAACCACUGUACUAUAGGAACCACUGUACUAUAGGAACCACUGUACUAUAGAACAGCCACACCACAGGUUGGGAACCACUGUACUAUAGGAACCACUGUACUAUAGGAACCACUGUACUAUAGGAACCACUGUACUAUAGGAACCACUGUACUAUAGGAACCACUGUACUAUAGAACCACUGUACUAUAGAACCACUGUACUAUAGAACCACUGUACUAUAGAACCACUGUACUAUAGAACCACUGUACUAUAGAACCACUGUACUAUAGGAACCACUGUACUAUAGGAACCACUGUACUAUAGGAACCACUGUACUAUAGGAACCACUGUACUAUAGGACAGCCACACCGCAGGUUGGGAACCACUGUACUAUAGGAACCACUGUACUAUAGGAACCACUGUACUAUAGGAACCACUGUACUAUAGGAACCACUGUACUAUAGAACAGCCACACCACAGGUUGGGAACCACUGUACUAUAGGAACCACUGUACUAUAGGAACCACUGUACUAUAGGAGCCACUGUACUAUAGAACAGCCACACCGCAGGUUGGGAACCACUGUACUAUAGGAACCACUGUACUAUAGGAACCACUGUACUAUAGGAACCACUGUACUAUAGGAACCACUGUACUAUAGGAACCACUGCACUAUAGGAACCACUGUACUAUAGGAACCACUGUACUAUAGGAACCACUGUACUAUAGGAACCACUGUACUAUAGGAACCACGGUACAAUAGAACAGCCACACCGCUAUAGAACAGCCACACCGCAGGUUGGGAACCACUGUACUAUAGGAACCACGGUACUAUAGGAACCACGGUACUAUAGGAACCACGGUACUAUAGGAACCACGGUACUAUAGAACAGCCACACCGCAGGUUGGGAACCACUGUACUAUAGGAACCACUGUACUAUAGGAACCACUGUACUAUAGAACAGCCACACCACAGGUUCGGAACCACGGUACUAUAGGAACCACUGUACUAUAGGAACCACUGCACUAUAGGAACCACUGUACUAUAGGAACCACUGUACUAUAGAACAGCCACACCACAGGUUGGGAACCACUGUACUAUAGGAACCACUGUACUAUAGAACCACUGCACUAUAGGAACCACUGCACUAUAGAACAGCCACACCACAGGUUGGGAACCACUGUACUAUAGGAACCACUGUACUAUAGAACCACUGCACUAUAGGAACCACUGUACUAUAGGAACCACAGUACUAUAGGAACCACUGUACUAUAGGACAGCUACACCACAGGUUGGGAACCACUGCACUAUAGGAACCACUGUACUAUAGAACCACUGUACUAUAGGAACCACUGUACUAUAGGAACCACUGUACUAUAGGAACCACUGUACUAUAGAACAGCCACACCACAGGUUGGGAACCACUGUACUAUAGGAACCACGGUACUAUAGGAACCACUGUACUAUAGAACAGCCACACCACAGGUUGGGAACCACUGUACUAUAGGAACCACUGUACUAUAGGAACCACUGUACUAUAGGAACCACUGUACUAUAGAACAGCCACACCACAGGUUGGGAACCACUGUACUAUAGGAACCACUUUACUAUAGGAACCACUGUACU